Molecule: ribosomal RNA, 254 nt
Filed under: uncultured bacterium
Lineage: Bacteria
Description: partial 16S ribosomal RNA
Rfam family: Bacterial small subunit ribosomal RNA
Source: RNAcentral
GACGUAGGGCGCGAGCGUUGUCCGGAUUUAUUGGGCGUAAAGAGCUCGUAGGCGGCUUGUCGCGUCGAAUGUGAAAAACUCGGGGCUCAACCCCGCGCUUGCAUUCGAUACGGGCAGGCUCGAGUUCGGUAGGGGAGACUGGAAUUCCUGGUGUAGCGGUGAAAUGCGCAGAUAUCAGGAGGAACACCGGUGGCGAAGGCGGGUCUCUGGGCCGAUACUGACGCUGAGGAGCGAAAGCGUGGGGAGCGAACAGG